This 298-nucleotide long non-coding RNA is filed under the name Phoenix dactylifera (date palm). Its description in RNAcentral is "long non-coding RNA (PDAC_LNC005729)". Lineage: Eukaryota; Viridiplantae; Streptophyta; Magnoliopsida; Arecales; Arecaceae. The record is from RNAcentral.
AUCAGUAUAAUUAUCAAUAUUAUCGCUUAUCUGCUAGAUGCAAUUUCCUACCCAUUUGGGCUUCCCACCGCCGCUCAAUGAUGUCGAUGUACUCCUGGGCAUGGGCUACAUCUGCCUCCAUGAUCUGAGCCUUUGCCUUCUCCAUCAUGUGAUACAAAAAGCCCAUCUGGGGGUACCUCUCGCUAUCCACGGCCCGCAGCACUUCAUAUAAUGGUUUGAUAGCCUUGACUAUUGCAUUGGCCCGCUGCUAGAAUGACUGCCUGCUUACCAAGUCUUCCAUCCUACUUCCUUCAGUGCC